AACGAACGCUGGCGGCAGGCCUAACACAUGCAAGUCGAAGGAGAAGCCAUCUUCGGAUGGUGGAAACUGGCGCACGGGUGAGUAACGCGUGGGCACCUGCCCUGGGGUGGGGGAUAACCGCUGGAAACGGCGGCUAAUACCGCAUACGCCUUACGAGGGAAAGAUUUAUCGCCCUGGGAGGGGCCCGCGUUGGAUUAGCUUGUUGGUGGGUAACGGCCCACCAAGGCGACGAUCCAUAGCUGGUCUGAGAGGAUGAUCAGCCACACUGGGACUGAGACACGGCCCAGACUCCUACGGGAGGCAGCAGUGGGGAAUAUUGGACAAUGGGGGCAACCCUGAUCCAGCCAUGCCGCGUGCGUGAAGAAGGCCUUAGGGUUGUAAAGCGCUUUCACCGGUGACGAUGAUGACGGUAGCCGGAGAAGAAGCCCCGGCUAACUCCGUG
This 442-nucleotide ribosomal RNA is filed under the name uncultured bacterium. RNAcentral describes it as "bacterial SSU rRNA". It matches the Rfam family "Bacterial small subunit ribosomal RNA", at positions 29 to 507 of the family's 1533-position model. The record is from RNAcentral.